AGACCAUGGUGCAGACAUCUUUGGACCAACAUCUUAAAUCAUUCCCAUGCCUCAUGAAAACUUUCUCCUUCUAGUUGUUUAAGCGUGACAAUCUCCCUCCUGAGUUG
This is a non-coding RNA of Gossypium hirsutum (cotton), 107 nucleotides long. The record is from Rfam. NCBI's taxonomy places the organism in Eukaryota, Viridiplantae, Streptophyta, Magnoliopsida, Malvales, Malvaceae.